GACGAACGCUGGCGGCGUGCCUAAUACAUGCAAGUUGAGCGCUGAAGGUUGGUACUUGUACCAACUGGAUGAGCAGCGAACGGGUGAGUAACGCGUGGGGAAUCUGCCUUUGAGCGGGGGACAACAUUUGGAAACGAAUGCUAAUACCGCAUAAAAACUUUAAACACAAGUUUUAAGUUUGAAAGAUGCAAUUGCAUCACUCAAAGAUGAUCCCGCGUUGUAUUAGCUAGUUGGUGAGGUAAAGGCUCACCAAGGCGAUGAUACAUAGCCGACCUGAGAGGGUGAUCGGCCACAUUGGGACUUGGAAACCGCCCAAACUCCUACGGGAGGCAGCAGUAGGGAAUCUUCGGCAAUGGACGAAAGUCUGACCGAGCAACGCCGCGUGAGUGAAGAAGGUUUUCGGAUCGUAAAACUCUGUUGGUAGAGAAGAACGUUGGUGAGAGUGGAAAGCUCAUCAAGUGACGGUAACUACCCAGAAAGGGACGGCUAACUACGUG
Molecule: ribosomal RNA, 497 nt
Filed under: uncultured bacterium
Lineage: Bacteria
Description: partial 16S ribosomal RNA
Rfam family: Bacterial small subunit ribosomal RNA
Source: RNAcentral